This 118-nucleotide ribosomal RNA is filed under the name Plagiomnium acutum. RNAcentral's name for it is "partial 5.8S ribosomal RNA". It matches the Rfam family "5.8S ribosomal RNA", at positions 38 to 154 of the family's 154-position model. Rfam says of the family: 5.8S ribosomal RNA (5.8S rRNA) is a component of the large subunit of the eukaryotic ribosome. The record is from RNAcentral. Lineage: Eukaryota; Viridiplantae; Streptophyta; Bryopsida; Bryales; Mniaceae.
GAAGAACGCAGCGAAAUGCGAUACGUAGUGUGAAUUGCAGAAUUCCGCGAAUCAUCGAGUUUUUGAACGCAAGUUGCGCCCGAGGCUUGUCCAAGGGCAUUUCCGCUAGAGCGUCACC